This 259-nucleotide RNase P RNA is filed under the name Chloroflexaceae bacterium. Its description in RNAcentral is "partial RNase P RNA component class A". It matches the Rfam family "Bacterial RNase P class A", at positions 101 to 367 of the family's 367-position model. Rfam says of the family: Ribonuclease P (RNase P) is a ubiquitous endoribonuclease, found in archaea, bacteria and eukarya as well as chloroplasts and mitochondria. Lineage: Bacteria; Bacillati; Chloroflexota; Chloroflexia; Chloroflexales; Chloroflexaceae. The record is from RNAcentral.
CGAGGAGAGUGCCACAGAAAAUACGCUUUUGCAAAUAGAAAGGUAAGGGUGCAAGGUGCGGUAAGAGCGCACAGCAGUAUCGUGAGGUACUGGCUCGGUAAACCCCGGUUGGAAGCAAGGUCGCAGGGACUAGGGUUGGUCUUUUUCCCGUCCCGUUUUAGGAGAACCGCAAGAGGUGUUUGGUAACAGGCAUCCCAGAUAGAUAACUGCCCUCUGCCUAUGGUAGAGAACAGAACCCGGCUUAUGUCCAACUCUCUCU